UGGGGAAUAUUGCACAAUGGAGGGAACUCUGAUGCAGCGACGCCGCGUGAGUGAUGAAGGAAUUCGUUUCGUAAAACUCUGUUCUAUGGGAAGAAAAGGACUGUACCAUAGGAGAAAGCUUCGGCUAAAUACGUGCCAGCAGCCGCGGUAAUACGUAUGGAGCGAGCGUUGUCCGGUAUUAUUGGGCGUAAAGGGUGCGCAGGCGGCUUUACAAGUUGGAUGUGAAAUAUUGUGGCUCAACCACAAACGUGCAUCCAAAACUGCAAAACUUGAGUUAAGGGGAGGUAGGUGUAAUUCCUGGUGUAGCGGUGGAAUGCGUAAAUAUCAGGAGGAAUACCGGUGGCGAAGGCGACUUACUGGACUUAAACUGACGAGCAGGGACGAAAGCGUGGGGAGCAAACAGG
This 404-nucleotide ribosomal RNA is filed under the name Fusobacteriota bacterium. RNAcentral describes it as "Fusobacteria bacterium partial 16S ribosomal RNA". It matches the Rfam family "Bacterial small subunit ribosomal RNA", at positions 355 to 776 of the family's 1533-position model. The record is from RNAcentral. Lineage: Bacteria; Fusobacteriati; Fusobacteriota.